UGCCCGUCACAGGGGGAUAACCGGCGGAAACGGCGACUAAUACCCCAUAUGCUGCGAUGCUGCAUGGCAUUGCAAUGAAAGAUUCAUCGGUGGCGGAUAGGCUCGCGGGACAUUAGCUAGACGGCGGGGCAACGGCCCACCGUGGCGACGAUGUCUAGGGGUUCUGAGAGGAAGACCCCCCACACUGGGACUGAGACACGGCCCAGACUCCUACGGGAGGCAGCAGUGAGGAAUAUUGGUCAAUGGGCGGAAGCCUGAACCAGCCAUGCCGCGUGAAGGACUAAGGCCCUACGGGUCGUAAACUUCUUUAGACGCAGAGCAAUAAGGUCCACGCGUGGACCGAUGAGAGUAUGCGUAGAAUAAGCAUCGGCUAACUCCGUGCCAGCAGCCGCGGUAAUACGGGGGAUGCGAGCGUUAUCCGGAUUCAUUGGGUUUAAAGGGUGCGUAGGCGGCCGAGUAAGUCAGCGGUGAAAGACCGGGGCUCAACCCUGGAAGUGCCGUUGAUACUGUUUGGCUGGAAUGAUCCCGCCGCGGGAGGAAUGAGUGGUGUAGCGGUGAAAUGCAUAGAUAUCACUCAGAACACCGAUUGCGAAGGCAUCUCGCGAGGGGUCAAUUGACGCUGAGGCACGAAAGCGUGGGGAUCGAACAGGAUUAGAUACCCUGGUAGUCCACGCAGUAAACGAUGAUGGCUAACUGUCGGGCCUACGGGUUCGGCGGCCAAG
Molecule: ribosomal RNA, 722 nt
Filed under: uncultured bacterium
Lineage: Bacteria
Description: bacterial SSU rRNA
Rfam family: Bacterial small subunit ribosomal RNA
Source: RNAcentral